UGACGAUUCCGUGAAGAAGUAAUGGCUGACGUUGUCGAACAUUCAGACCCACUGGAGGCGUUCCACAGCCUGGAGCCUGCCGAUAAGGAAUUCGAUGCGACUUGACCGGACUUGCACCCACAGCCUUUUGUCAGGCCUGUGACAGGCUGUCUGACUGCUGCAAGAUGUUUGUCAGAGCCCCACACCAUGACUAGGUCAUUGGUUCUUUACAAUCCCUACCUUGAAGAGGUGGGUAGUUGAUAGUAGAAUUUGUUGCUUAAAUUGAGCGAUAAUCAGAGGCAACAAUUCCAGUGUAGCUGAAUUCCACUUGUAGGUUUUACGGCACCGCCAUCCAUGGACUCUUGGUACUACUUCAUACUGAAGUUUCACUGUGUGUGGAAUCCGCCUGUCUGUGUUAGUGUUUUCCUUUGAUGUCUCUUCGUCUCAGUUUCUUCCUCAGUGCUUGUUGUGAUUGGCAUGUGGCAGCCAAAUGGCCAUGGAACUUCAACUGUGGUACUUGCAUCAAUUGGGCUAGUGUGACCAGUGGUGCUAUGGCCAGCCGUUACUCCUCGUUGAGAAAAGAUCCCUGCAAGUGUACUUGACUGGCUGUAUGCGUCUAAUACGUCUGCAAGCACCAACUGAAGUGGGUGCUGCGCAAUGUCAACGAUCGAUGCACGUAAUCAUUACCCACAGCAGUGGUGUCGGUCAGUGUGGUGUAACUACCUUCCUCAACAAUCACCAGCUGCUGGCUUGUGACAGUUUCGCCGAAAAUUAGUCGGUCUCUCUCAUUCCGCUAUCCCUUUGUCGACUCUGAGGAGAUGCUCGACAAGCACAUAAUUUGGUACUUCCCGUACAGCCUAGUUUUUGCAGUAUUUGCUUCCUACACCAGCCACAGUGCUUUUCUUCCCGCGUUCUUUUUUCCGCUGGACGGUUUGGGAUUAUCUUUUGUGUUACAUUCUUUCGUUUUCUGUUCCUGUUCUUGUGUGUUAACGUUUCAGUGGAAUGGUGCAAUGCAUUUCCAACCAAUGCAGUCAUUCUGGUUUAAAUUGGAUUGAACUGUACAGGUUUCCAAUGCUUAUGGCAUAUUACUGAUGUAUUCUCAGUCAU
Long non-coding RNA from Sycon ciliatum, 1086 nucleotides. RefSeq lists it as uncharacterized. The transcript has 4 exons. The record is from RefSeq and is a predicted model, not a curated record. NCBI's taxonomy places the organism in Eukaryota, Metazoa, Porifera, Calcarea, Leucosolenida, Sycettidae.